AUAUAAAAGGUUAUUUUUAAUAAAAUUAUUUUUAUUUUUAAAAUAAUAAAAUUAUAUUUUAGUAUUAGAUAAGAAAAAAAUAUUUUAAUUAUAGUUUAAUAGUAUUGUGAAAGAAUUUUUUAAUAUAAUAAAAAGAAAAAUUAUUUUUUUGUACCUUGUGUAUCAGGGCUUAUUAAUUAAAAUUAUAAAUAUAUAAAUUUCUCGAAUUUAAAAGAGUUAAUUUAAUAUUUUUUUUAUUGUAAAAUAAAUAUUUUUAAUAUUAAAUUAGUAAUGAAAUGUUAAACGUUUUUAAAUAUAUCUAGUUUUUAAAGAAAAAAAUUUAAUUUUAUUAUUAUAAAUAUAAAAUUAAAUAUUUAAUUUUUAUAUUAAUAAUAUUAUAUAUUUUUAGGGAUGAGCUUAAAAAUAGAAAUUCUUAAAAUAAUAUUAUAUAUUUUUAGAUUUAUAGAAUUAGAAAUUUUUAUUAAAAAAGUUUGUUAUAAUUUAUUUAAAAUAGAAAAUAAUUUAUAUUAAUUUUAGAAUAUUAUAUUUAAAUUUAGUUAUAAAUUUUUUAUAAUUAGGAAUAAUGAUUAAAUUAGUAUAAAUUAUUUUAAAAUUAAAAUUUAAUAAGAGAUUAAUUAAAGGAAUUCGGCAAAGAAUUUUUCCACCUGUUUAUUAAAAACAUGUCCUUUUGUUAAAAAUUUAAGGUCUAGCCUGCCCACUGAAAUUUUAAAUGGCCGCGGUAUUUUGACCGUGCAAAGGUAGCAUAAUCAUUAGUUUUUUAAUUGGAAGCUGGUAUGAAUGGUUGUAUGAGAAAAAAUCUGUCUCUAGUUAAUUAUUUAGAAUUUUAUUUUUAAGUUAAAAAGCUUAAAUUUAUUUAAAAGACGAGAAGACCCUAUAGAGUUUUAUAAAAAUUAUUAUUUUGAUUUUUAGAAUUUAAAUUUAGAUUAAUAAUUUUUAUUUGAUUGGGGUGAUUGAAAAAUUUAUUAAACUUUUUUUAAUUUAAAAACAUUAAUUUAUGAAUAGUUGAUCCUUUAAAAAGAUUAAAAGAUAAAAUUACCUUAGGGAUAACAGCGUAAUUUUUUUUGAGAGUUCUAAUCGAAAAAAAAGAUUGCGACCUCGAUGUUGGAUUAAAAUUAAUUUUUGGUGUAGAAGCUAAAAAAUUAAGUCUGUUCGACUUUUAAAAUUUUACAUGAUCUGAGUUUAAACCGGUGUGAGCCAGGUUGGUUUCUAUCUUUAAAAAUUAAAAAUAUUUUAGUACGAAAGGACCAAAUAUUUAAUUAAUAAUUUUAACUUUGAAUAUUAAU
RNAcentral lists this ribosomal RNA (1283 nucleotides) under Cortodera humeralis. RNAcentral's name for it is "16S ribosomal RNA". The stretch from base 1043 to 1201 matches the Rfam family "Archaeal large subunit ribosomal RNA", at positions 2542 to 2701 of the family's 2987-position model. Lineage: Eukaryota; Metazoa; Arthropoda; Insecta; Coleoptera; Cerambycidae. The record is from RNAcentral.